UCCCUCAGUAACGGCGAGCGAACGGGGAAGAGCUCAUAGCCGAAUCCCGCGCUUCGCGGCGCGGGAAAUGUGGCGUAUGGGAGGCGGAGUCCUCCGAGCGCGACCGGCGGUACAAGUCCCCAUGAGAGGGGCAUGUUACCCGGAGCGGGUGCUAGGCCCGUACCGCCGCCGGUCCGCGCGCGGAGUUGCCGUUUUCCCGGGAGUCGGGUUGCUUGGGAGUGCAGCCCUAAGUGGGUGGUAAACUCCACCUAAAGCUAAAUAAGACCGAGAGACCGAUAGCGAACAAGUACCGUGAGGGAAAGUUGAAAAGCACUUUGAAGAGAGAGUUCAAGAGUACGUGAAACCGUUCAGAGGUAAACGGGUGGGACCUCGAAGUCCGAAGGCGGUGGUGGAUUCAGCCGGGAACCGGCCCUUCUCCUCUCUGCGUCACCCCGCGACGGGGCCGCGGAGAGGGGCUCGAGGGCCGGGUUCCGGCGCACUUCCACGCCCCGUCCGGUAGGGCGUCGCGACCGGUUGGAAGGCCGUCGCAAGGGCGGACGUUAAAGGUGGCCGCGUUUCCUUAGGGAUCCGCGGUGUUACAGUGGUCCGUCCCCGACGGGUCGUCCGACCGGGGUCUAUAGGCGCUCCCUUCCAGAGGGAAGCGGCGUCCGGGCCGAGCGUCGCGCGCGGGGCGUGCCACCUUCUAGGUGAGCGUCCCUCGCGAGGAGUUUCGCGUCCGAGGCGCCGCGGGGAGCCGGAGGUCGCGGCGAGUAGGUCGGUUACCCACCCGACCCGUCUUGAAACACGGACCAAGGAGUCUAACGCGUGUGCGAGUUCCCGGGACUUGACYAGGCCCGCGGGCGCAAUGAAAGUGAAGGUCUUUUAGACCGAGUUGGGAUCCUCUCCCUCGGGGGAGGCGCACCAACGGCCCGUCCGACGCCGGUUUCGGCGGGGCGGAGCUAGAGCAUACGCUCUGGGACCCGAAAGAUGGUGAACUAUGCCUGGGCAGGACGAGGCCAGAGGAAACUCUGGUGGAGGUCCGUAGCGAUUCUGACGUGCAAUCGAUCGUCAGACCUG
RNAcentral lists this ribosomal RNA (1056 nucleotides) under Microcreagrinae sp. UAIC<USA-AZ> 1113044. RNAcentral's name for it is "LSU rRNA". It matches the Rfam family "Eukaryotic large subunit ribosomal RNA", at positions 76 to 913 of the family's 3401-position model. The record is from RNAcentral. Lineage: Eukaryota; Metazoa; Arthropoda; Arachnida; Pseudoscorpiones; Neobisiidae.